GUUGCCACCCCACAGAGACCAAAUGCUUUGUUGCCUCUAAACCAGGAAUAUGUCGUGUGUGGUGCGGGCUCUUCAGUCUUUCAGGGACUCUUCCCUUUCACAGGGAGUGUGAGGUGAGUCAAAGGAUGAGAUUCAAAUAUUAAAUGCCAGGCAAGGGAGUCUCCCGUAUCCUCGUGUUACCUUUGCUGCCUUCUGAAAUCAACAUGUUCCCCAGCCAAGGAACGUGCAAAUUCUUUCGGCUAUCACUCACUUUUGGAUGAAUCUCAACUGCGCAUAUAUACAACAGUCAGUUUCCUCGGUGUUUGAAUGAACCAGAAGGGCUUUGUCUGUUAUAGAUGGGAGCUUUCAAUCCCAUUUAUGGUACGUUAUAUCAGCCUGAAAUAGCAUCUGUGAGGUCCUUAAACUGAACCGCCAUCAGAUUUACAGCCACCACAAAGGAGUUAGCAGGCUGGCUCCAGAGAGCUAUGAGCAGUAACCAUAUUCUCUUGAAAUAUUUGCUUUCUCUGCAAAGUUGACCUGAGGAAGAAUGUGUUGUUCAUUUGAAGAUCUCUGUUUGUUCAUUUAUUCAGAGAACGUCUUCGUUGACAGCCACUGUAAAGAGAUGAGCUUCAGAGCUGAGAGCCAAAGACAUGCUUCUUGUCAUUGCAGAGCUGGUGACAGCUGCUCAGACAGGGAGCUUCCCGCGGUACGUCCACACAUCUGCAAGUACUUUUAAAUGUCUAUAUAGGUACUCCCUUUUCAGUCCCUGGGGCAUGAGUCAAACAGAGGAGAUGAGAUGAAGAUUUUUGAGCUCUACAGUUAACAGCUGGUUCCCUGAGCAGCAGAAGCAAUUGAGCCUACGGAUCUAUGCCAUAUGUGGAUUCUUUGCUAAGGAGUGAAUUCGCUCUCCAGUCCUUUGCUUACAGAUGGCCUUACCAAGGUAUUUCUUUCUAACAAAACUUGCUGGAAUCUAGUAUCUUUAAGACCUUUCCACCCCCCUUCUUCCCCUCUAGUUUGAGGCAGCGAAGUUGGUGAGGGAGUCCUUAAGUUAUCAGAGGGUGGGAAAGAUGGAUGAUAGGGAAAAGCUGUCAAACAGAUGAAAGCAGAUAAUGCCAUUGUGUAUAACAAGAAACCUCUUGGGAUU
This 1123-nucleotide long non-coding RNA is filed under the name Calidris pugnax (ruff). RNAcentral describes it as "lncRNA (ENSCPUG00000017136.1)". The record is from RNAcentral. Lineage: Eukaryota; Metazoa; Chordata; Aves; Charadriiformes; Scolopacidae.